UUAUUUUACAUCAGGAGGGACAACGGUCCUCCACCUGCUGUUACACCUGUUGACUGUCUUCUCUCACCGUCAGAUAUCACGUCAUCAUGCGACACGUGCUGAUGGUUGUAGCGGUGCUGGUGGUGCUGUGUCAGCUGACUGCUGCUGCAGCGACUCGCGAUGACCAGGGUAAGCCCCUGUCACAAGACUUGCUACAUUCCAUAAAGAAGCGGGCGAGUUGGGUAGACACCAGAGCUCGAAAUCGACUACCGCCCCGACGACGACCGCAAGGUCAGCUGGUGAUGUGACCGACGACAGGCACUGAUCCUGCAGAAAGGUUCUUAGUCCCAAGACAUUUGUCUCUAGUCAUCGACAGUCGCAGGCUUUGUAGCUGCUGAUGUUAUGUUGUUGUGUUGUUGUACAGUUGAUGUGACAGCGGUGUAAACCGUUUGCUGUCGUCAGCUUCUCACAGUACCAGAGAUAACAUGGACGAGCAAACAAUAUGUCGUUUGUACUCAACGUGAUGUUUGUUUACAGGCAUGCUGCUGUGACAAAUAAACAACCACAAUGAACAA
RNAcentral lists this long non-coding RNA (554 nucleotides) under Pomacea canaliculata. RNAcentral describes it as "uncharacterized LOC112562253, transcript variant X2". Lineage: Eukaryota; Metazoa; Mollusca; Gastropoda; Architaenioglossa; Ampullariidae. The record is from RNAcentral.